This 756-nucleotide ribosomal RNA is filed under the name uncultured bacterium. Its description in RNAcentral is "bacterial SSU rRNA". It matches the Rfam family "Bacterial small subunit ribosomal RNA", at positions 8 to 796 of the family's 1533-position model. The record is from RNAcentral.
AGAGUUUGAUCCUGGCUCAGAAUCAACGCUGGCGGCGUGCCUAACACAUGCAAGUCGCACGAGAAAGGGACUUCGGUUCUGAGUACAGUGGCGCACGGGUGAGUAACACGUGAAUCAUCUACCUUCGAGUGGGGAAUAACUGAGAGAAAUCUUAGCUAAUACCGCAUAAAACCUACGGGUCAAAGCAGCAAUGCGCUUGAAGAGGAGUUCGCGGCAGAUUAGUUAGUUGGCGGGGUAAUGGCCCACCAAGACGAUGAUCUGUAUCCGGCCUGAGAGGGCGCACGGACACACUGGAACUGAAACACGGUCCAGACUCCUACGGGAGGCAGCAGUGGGGAAUUUUGCGCAAUGGGGGAAACCCUGACGCAGCAACGCCGCGUGGAGGAUGAAAUCCCUUGGGAUGUAAACUCCUUUCGAUAGGGAAGAUAAUGACGGUACCUAUAGAAGAAGCCCCGGCUAACUUCGUGCCAGCAGCCGCGGUAAUACGAGGGGGGCAAGCGUUGUUCGGAAUUAUUGGGCGUAAAGGGUGCGUAGGCGGUUUGACAAGUCUUAUGUGAAAUCUAUGGGCUCAACCCAUAGUCUGCAUGGGAAACUGUCGGGCUUGAGUAUGGGAGAGGUGAGUGGAAUUUCCGGUGUAGCGGUGAAAUGCGUAGAUAUCGGAAGGAACACCUGUGGCGAAAGCGGCUCACUGGACCAUAACUGACGCUGAUGCACGAAAGCUAGGGGAGCAAACAGGAUUAGAUACCCUGGUAGUCC